UGCCGGGCCUUCCCUGCGGAGGAGGCGGCGGAGGCCCGGGACGGGCCCGGGAAAAACCGGAAUAAAAACGGGAUAAAGCGGGAAAAACGGAUAAACCCGGGAUAACCGGGAGCGCCGGGAGCAGCGGGAUCAGCGCCGCCGCAGCCAUGGUGUUCUACUUCACCUCCAACGCCGCUGCCGCCGUCUACACCAUCUACAUGGGCAAGGACAAGUACGAGAACGAGGACCUGAUCAAGUACGGGUGGCCCGAGGACGUCUGGU
This is a long non-coding RNA of Melozone crissalis (California towhee), 261 nucleotides long. RefSeq lists it as uncharacterized. The transcript is spliced from 3 exons. Lineage: Eukaryota; Metazoa; Chordata; Aves; Passeriformes; Passerellidae. The record is from RefSeq and is a predicted model, not a curated record.